GUAAAUAUAGUUUACAAAAAUACUAGACUGUGACUCUAGAGACAGAAGCUAUCGCUCCUUAUUUACC
Molecule: transfer RNA, 67 nt
Filed under: Archaeolacerta bedriagae (Bedriaga's rock lizard)
Lineage: Eukaryota; Metazoa; Chordata; Lepidosauria; Squamata; Lacertidae
Description: transfer RNA-His
Rfam family: tRNA
About the family: Transfer RNA (tRNA) molecules are approximately 80 nucleotides in length. Their secondary structure includes four short double-helical elements and three loops (D, anti-codon, and T loops).
Source: RNAcentral